GAUUAAGUUAUUAAGGGCGCACGGUGGAUGCCUUGGCACUAGAAGCCGAUGAAGGACGUUACUAACGACGAUAUGCUUUGGGGAGCUGUAAGUAAGCUUUGAUCCAGAGAUUUCCGAAUGGGGAAACCCAGCAUGAGUUAUGUCAUGUUAUCGAUAUGUGAAUACAUAGCAUAUCAGAAGGCACACCCGGAGAACUGAAACAUCUUAGUACCCGGAGGAAGAGAAAGAAAAUUCGAUUCCCUUAGUAGCGGCGAGCGAAACGGGAAGAGCCCAAACCAACAAGCUUGCUUGUUGGGGUUGUAGGACACUCUAUACGGAGUUACAAAGGACGACAUUAGACGAAUCAUCUGGAAAGAUGAAUCAAAGAAGGUAAUAAUCCUGUAGUCGAAAAUGUUGUCUCUCUUGAGUGGAUCCUGAGUACGACGGAGCACGUGAAAUUCCGUCGGAAUCUGGGAGGACCAUCUCCUAAGGCUAAAUACUCUCUAGUGACCGAUAGUGAACCAGUACCGUGAGGGAAAGGUGAAAAGCACCCCGGAAGGGGAGUGAAAUAGAACCUGAAACCGUGUGCUUACAAGUAGUCAGAGCCCGUUAAUGGGUGAUGGCGUGCCUUUUGUAGAAUGAACCGGCGAGUUACGAUUUGAUGCAAGGUUAAGCAGUAAAUGUGGAGCCGUAGCGAAAGCGAGUCUGAAUAGGGCGUUUAGUAUUUGGUCGUAGACCCGAAACCAGGUGAUCUACCCUUGGUCAGGUUGAAGUUCAGGUAACACUGAAUGGAGGACCGAACCGACUUACGUUGAAAAGUGAGCGGAUGAACUGAGGGUAGCGGAGAAAUUCCAAUCGAACCUGGAGAUAGCUGGUUCUCUCCGAAAUAGCUUUAGGGCUAGCCUCAAGUGAUGAUUAUUGGAGGUAGAGCACUGUUUGGACGAGGGGCCCCUCUCGGGUUACCGAAUUCAGACAAACUCCGAAUGCCAAUUAAUUUAACUUGGGAGUCAGAACAUGGGUGAUAAGGUCCGUGUUCGAAAGGGAAACAGCCCAGACCACCAGCUAAGGUCCCAAAAUAUAUGUUAAGUGGAAAAGGAUGUGGCGUUGCCCAGACAACUAGGAUGUUGGCUUAGAAGCAGCCAUCAUUUAAAGAGUGCGUAAUAGCUCACUAGUCGAGUGACACUGCGCCGAAAAUGUACCGGGGCUAAACAUAUUACCGAAGCUGUGGAUUGUCCUUUGGACAAUGGUAGGAGAGCGUUCUAAGGGCGUUGAAGCAUGAUCGUAAGGACAUGUGGAGCGCUUAGAAGUGAGAAUGCCGGUGUGAGUAGCGAAAGACGGGUGAGAAUCCCGUCCACCGAUUGACUAAGGUUUCCAGAGGAAGGCUCGUCCGCUCUGGGUUAGUCGGGUCCUAAGCUGAGGCCGACAGGCGUAGGCGAUGGAUAACAGGUUGAUAUUCCUGUACCACCUAUAAUCGUUUUAAUCGAUGGGGGGACGCAGUAGGAUAGGCGAAGCGUGCGAUUGGAUUGCACGUCUAAGCAGUAAGGCUGAGUAUUAGGCAAAUCCGGUACUCANNNNNNNNNNNNNNNNNNNNNNNNNNNNNNNNNNNNNNNNNNNNNNNNNNNNNNNNNNNNNNNNNNNNNNNNNNNNNNNNNNNNNNNNNNNNNNNNUCGUUAAGGCUGAGCUGUGAUGGGGAGAAGACAUUGUGUCUUCGAGUCGUUGAUUUCACACUGCCGAGAAAAGCCUCUAGAUAGAAAAUAGGUGCCCGUACCGCAAACCGACACAGGUAGUCAAGAUGAGAAUUCUAAGGUGAGCGAGCGAACUCUCGUUAAGGAACUCGGCAAAAUGACCCCGUAACUUCGGGAGAAGGGGUGCUCUUUAGGGUUAACGCCCAGAAGAGCCGCAGUGAAUAGGCCCAAGCGACUGUUUAUCAAAAACACAGGUCUCUGCUAAACCGUAAGGUGAUGUAUAGGGGCUGACGCCUGCCCGGUGCUGGAAGGUUAAGAGGAGUGGUUAGCUUCUGCGAAGCUACGAAUCGAAGCCCCAGUAAACGGCGGCCGUAACUAUAACGGUCCUAAGGUAGCGAAAUUCCUUGUCGGGUAAGUUCCGACCCGCACGAAAGGCGUAACGAUUUGGGCACUGUCUCAACGAGAGACUCGGUGAAAUCAUAGUACCUGUGAAGAUGCAGGUUACCCGCGACAGGACGGAAAGACCCCGUGGAGCUUUACUGUAGCCUGAUAUUGAAAUUCGGCACAGCUUGUACAGGAUAGGUAGGAGCCUUUGAAACGUGAGCGCUAGCUUACGUGGAGGCGCUGGUGGGAUACUACCCUAGCUGUGUUGGCUUUCUAACCCGCACCACUUAUCGUGGUGGGAGACAGUGUCAGGCGGGCAGUUUGACUGGGGCGGUCGCCUCCUAAAAGGUAACGGAGGCGCUCAAAGGUUCCCUCAGAAUGGUUGGAAAUCAUUCAUAGAGUGUAAAGGCAUAAGGGAGCUUGACUGCGAGACCUACAAGUCGAGCAGGGUCGAAAGACGGACUUAGUGAUCCGGUGGUUCCGCAUGGAAGGGCCAUCGCUCAACGGAUAAAAGCUACCCCGGGGAUAACAGGCUUAUCUCCCCCAAGAGUUCACAUCGACGGGGAGGUUUGGCACCUCGAUGUCGGCUCAUCGCAUCCUGGGGCUGUAGUCGGUCCCAAGGGUUGGGCUGUUCGCCCAUUAAAGCGGUACGCGAGCUGGGUUCAGAACGUCGUGAGACAGUUCGGUCCCUAUCCGUCGUGGGCGUAGGAAAUUUGAGAGGAGCUGUCCUUAGUACGAGAGGACCGGGAUGGACAUACCUCUGGUGUACCAGUUGUCGUGCCAACGGCAUAGCUGGGUAGCUAUGUGUGGACGGGAUAAGUGCUGAAAGCAUCUAAGCAUGAAGCCCCCCUCAAGAUGAGAUUUCCCAACUUCGGUUAUAAGAUCCCUCAAAGAUGAUGAGGUUAAUAGGUUCGAGGUGGAAGCAUGGUGACAUGUGGAGCUGACGAAUACUAAUCGAUCGAAGACUUAAUCAA
RNAcentral lists this ribosomal RNA (3022 nucleotides) under Staphylococcus aureus. RNAcentral's name for it is "23S ribosomal RNA". It matches the Rfam family "Bacterial large subunit ribosomal RNA". The record is from RNAcentral. Lineage: Bacteria; Bacillati; Bacillota; Bacilli; Caryophanales; Staphylococcaceae.